RNAcentral lists this ribosomal RNA (520 nucleotides) under uncultured Glomus. Its description in RNAcentral is "SSU rRNA". It matches the Rfam family "Eukaryotic small subunit ribosomal RNA", at positions 569 to 1092 of the family's 1831-position model. The record is from RNAcentral. Lineage: Eukaryota; Fungi; Glomeromycota; Glomeromycetes; Glomerales; Glomeraceae.
AGCAGCCGCGGUAAUUCCAGCUCCAAUAGCGUAUAUUAAAGUUGUUGCAGUUAAAAAGCUCGUAGUUGAAUUUCGGGAUUAAUUUAUUGGUCGUGCUAUUGUACGUACUGGUAUUAUUGAUUCCUACCUUCUGACGAACCACGAUGUCAUUAAUUUGGUGUCAUGGGGAAUCAGGACUGUUACUUUGAAAAAAUUAGAGUGUUUAAAGCAGGCUCACGCUUGAAUACAUUAGCAUGGAAUAACGAAAUAGGACGUUUGAUUCUAUUUUGUUGGUUUCUAGGAUCGACGUAAUGAUUAAUAGGGAUAGUUGGGGGCAUUAGUAUUCAAUUGUCAGAGGUGAAAUUCUUGGAUUUAUUGAAGACUAACUACUGCGAAAGCAUUUGCCAAGGAUGUUUUCAUUAAUCAAGAACGAAAGUUAGGGGAUCGAAGACGAUCAGAUACCGUCGUAGUCUUAACCAUAAACUAUGCCGACUAGGGAUCGGAUGAUGUUAAUUUUUAAUGACUCAUUCGGCGCCUUACG